Molecule: unclassified non-coding RNA, 160 nt
Filed under: uncultured Xylariales
Lineage: Eukaryota; Fungi; Ascomycota; Sordariomycetes; Xylariales
Description: sequence contains ITS1
Source: RNAcentral
UAGAGUUUUUAACUCCCAAACCCAUGUGAACUUACCAGUUUGUUGCCUCGGCAGGCCUCCGUCUCUCGCCUUCGGGCGGUGCGGAUACCACAGGUCUGCCGGCGGUCCCAUUCAACUCUGAAUUACAUUGUAAAUCUGAGCGUUUAAAACAAAUAAAUCA